GCAUCGAUAGCUCAGUGUGGCAGAGCGGUGGGGCGUUUACCCAUGCGGCCCGGGUUCGAUCCCCGGUCGAUGCA
Molecule: non-coding RNA, 74 nt
Organism: Phthorimaea operculella (potato tuberworm)
Lineage: Eukaryota; Metazoa; Arthropoda; Insecta; Lepidoptera; Gelechiidae
Source: the annotation of a GenBank genome assembly